UACGUAGGGUGCGAGCGUUAAUCGGAAUUACUGGGCGUAAAGGGUGCGCAGGCGGUUAUUUAAGACAGAUGUGAAAUCCCCGGGCUCAACCUGGGAACUGCGUUUGUGACUGAAUAGCUAGAGUGCGGCAGAGGGGGGUAGAAUUCCACGUGUAGCAGUGAAAUGCGUAGAGAUCAGGAGGAACACCGAUGGCGAAGGCAGCCCCCUGGGCCUGUACUGACGCUCAUGCACGAAAGCGUGGGGAGCAAACAGG
RNAcentral lists this ribosomal RNA (253 nucleotides) under uncultured bacterium. RNAcentral's name for it is "partial 16S ribosomal RNA". It matches the Rfam family "Bacterial small subunit ribosomal RNA", at positions 524 to 776 of the family's 1533-position model. The record is from RNAcentral.